CUUUUUUUAAAGCAAGAAACUAGAGUGUGUCUAGUGCUAAAAGGAAGGAACCAGCCCAAGGAGGGUGAAGAAAAAGCAGAAUGCAUAAUUAUCCCCUCUCCAGGGGACAUUCUGGAGCAAAGUUCCUGAGGAGGUGGAAGGGCGAGCCACCUGGGCUGAGGAAUUACCUUUACACCUGAGGAGUCUGAUCCGCUCUCCUGUUCCAUCCCAGAAGAACAAUGAGAGAUUCCCAGGGAGACGUUCUUGCCUAGUGUGGACUCUGAGCUCUUGGAGCAGCAUCUGGGUAGGUUAAGUGCACUGGUGGGGAUACAGGGCAGCCAGGAUUUCUCAAACCCUGAGGGGCCUGGGAGUCUGCAGAG
Molecule: long non-coding RNA, 359 nt
Filed under: Canis lupus dingo (dingo)
Lineage: Eukaryota; Metazoa; Chordata; Mammalia; Carnivora; Canidae
Description: lncRNA (ENSCAFG00020010979.1)
Source: RNAcentral